This 55-nucleotide transfer RNA is filed under the name Nematostella vectensis (starlet sea anemone). It matches the Rfam family "tRNA", at positions 10 to 63 of the family's 71-position model. From Rfam's summary of the family: Transfer RNA (tRNA) molecules are approximately 80 nucleotides in length. Their secondary structure includes four short double-helical elements and three loops (D, anti-codon, and T loops). Lineage: Eukaryota; Metazoa; Cnidaria; Anthozoa; Actiniaria; Edwardsiidae. The record is from Rfam by way of RNAcentral.
GUCUAGUGGUAUGAUUCUAGCUUUGGGUGCGAGAGGCCACGGGUUCGAUUCCCGU